This 751-nucleotide ribosomal RNA is filed under the name uncultured Raoultella sp. Its description in RNAcentral is "bacterial SSU rRNA". It matches the Rfam family "Bacterial small subunit ribosomal RNA", at positions 14 to 756 of the family's 1533-position model. The record is from RNAcentral. Lineage: Bacteria; Pseudomonadati; Pseudomonadota; Gammaproteobacteria; Enterobacterales; Enterobacteriaceae.
UGAUCCUGGCUCAGAUUGAACGCUGGCGGCAGGCCUAACACAUGCAAGUCGAGCGGUAGCACAGAGAGCUUGCUCUCGGGUGACGAGCGGCGGACGGGUGAGUAAUGUCUGGGAAACUGCCUGAUGGAGGGGGAUAACUACUGGAAACGGUAGCUAAUACCGCAUAACGUCGCAAGACCAAAGUGGGGGACCUUCGGGCCUCAUGCCAUCAGAUGUGCCCAGAUGGGAUUAGCUAGUAGGUGGGGUAAUGGCUCACCUAGGCGACGAUCCCUAGCUGGUCUGAGAGGAUGACCAGCCACACUGGAACUGAGACACGGUCCAGACUCCUACGGGAGGCAGCAGUGGGGAAUAUUGCACAAUGGGCGCAAGCCUGAUGCAGCCAUGCCGCGUGUAUGAAGAAGGCCUUCGGGUUGUAAAGUACUUUCAGCGAGGAGGAAGGCAUUAAGGUUAAUAACCUUAGUGAUUGACGUUACUCGCAGAAGAAGCACCGGCUAACUCCGUGCCAGCAGCCGCGGUAAUACGGAGGGUGCAAGCGUUAAUCGGAAUUACUGGGCGUAAAGCGCACGCAGGCGGUCUGUUAAGUCAGAUGUGAAAUCCCCGGGCUCAACCUGGGAACUGCAUUUGAAACUGGCAGGCUUGAGUCUUGUAGAGGGGGGUAGAAUUCCAGGUGUAGCGGUGAAAUGCGUAGAGAUCUGGAGGAAUACCGGUGGCGAAGGCGGCCCCCUGGACAAAGACUGACGCUCAGGUGCGA